Molecule: transfer RNA, 68 nt
Filed under: Dictyosquilla foveolata
Lineage: Eukaryota; Metazoa; Arthropoda; Malacostraca; Stomatopoda; Squillidae
Description: tRNA-Ile
Source: RNAcentral
AAUGAAGUGCCUGAAAAAGGGUUAUCUUGAUAGGAUAAAUAAUGUAAAUUCUAUUUUUACCUUCAUUA